RNAcentral lists this non-coding RNA (25 nucleotides) under Mus musculus (house mouse). Lineage: Eukaryota; Metazoa; Chordata; Mammalia; Rodentia; Muridae. The record is from RNAcentral.
GCCAAAACAAGGGGCCUCCCAGACA